GAUGAACGCUGGCGGCGUGCCUAAUACAUGCAAGUCGAGCGAACAGACGAGGAGCUUGCUCCUCUGACGUUAGCGGCGGACGGGUGAGUAACACGUGGAUAACCUACCUAUAAGACUGGGAUAACUUCGGGAAACCGGAGCUAAUACCGGAUAAUAUAUUGAACCGCAUGGUUCAAUAGUGAAAGACGGUUUUGCUGUCACUUAUAGAUGGAUCCGCGCCGCAUUAGCUAGUUGGUAAGGUAACGGCUUACCAAGGCAACGAUGCGUAGCCGACCUGAGAGGGUGAUCGGCCACAAUGGAACUGAGACACGGUCCAGAAUCCUACGGGAGGCAGCAGUAGGGAAUCUUCAGCAAUGGGCGAAAGAUUGACGGAGCAACGCCGCGUGAGUGAUGAAGGUCUUCGGAUCGUAAAACUCUGUUAUUAGGGAAGAACAAAUGUGUAAGUAACUAUGCACGUCUUGACGGUACCUAAUCAGAAAGCCACGGCUAACUACGUG
This 497-nucleotide ribosomal RNA is filed under the name uncultured bacterium. RNAcentral's name for it is "partial 16S ribosomal RNA". It matches the Rfam family "Bacterial small subunit ribosomal RNA", at positions 28 to 507 of the family's 1533-position model. The record is from RNAcentral.